GUGGGGAAUUUUGGACAAUGGGCGAAAGCCUGAUCCAGCAAUGCCGCGUGUGUGAAGAAGGCCUUCGGGUUGUAAAGCACUUUUGGCAGGGAAGAAACAGUGCGUGCUAAUACCAUGCGCGAAUGACGGUACCUGCAGAAUAAGCACCGGCUAACUACGUGCCAGCAGCCGCGGUAAUACGUAGGGUGCAAGCGUUAAUCGGAAUUACUGGGCGUAAAGCGUGCGCAGGCGGCUUUGUAAGACGGAUGUGAAAGCCCCGGGCUCAACCUGGGAAGUGCAUUCGUGACUGAAAGGCUAGAGUGUGUCAGAGGGAGGUGGAAUUCCGCGUGUAGCAGUGAAAUGCGUAGAGAUGCGGAGGAACACCGAUGGCGAAGGCAGCCUCCUGGGAUAACACUGACGCUCAGGCACGAAAGCGUGGGGAGCAAACAGGAUUAGAAACCCCUGUAGUCC
RNAcentral lists this ribosomal RNA (450 nucleotides) under uncultured bacterium. RNAcentral's name for it is "partial 16S ribosomal RNA". It matches the Rfam family "Bacterial small subunit ribosomal RNA", at positions 354 to 796 of the family's 1533-position model. The record is from RNAcentral.